RNAcentral lists this ribosomal RNA (495 nucleotides) under uncultured bacterium. RNAcentral describes it as "partial 16S ribosomal RNA". It matches the Rfam family "Bacterial small subunit ribosomal RNA", at positions 28 to 507 of the family's 1533-position model. The record is from RNAcentral.
GAUGAACGCUGGCGGCGUGCCUAAUACAUGCAAGUAGAACGCUGAAGGAGGAGCUUGCUCUUCUGGAUGAGUUGCGAACGGGUGAGUAACGCGUAGGUAACCUGCCUGGUAGCGGGGGAUAACUAUUGGAAACGAUAGCUAAUACCGCAUGACAACAGUUAUUGCAUGAUAACUGUUUAAAAGGGGCAACUGCUCCACUACCAGAUGGACCUGCGUUGUAUUAGCUAGUUGGUGAGGUAACGGCUCACCAAGGCGACGAUACAUAGCCGACCUGAGAGGGGGAUCGGCCACACUGGGACUGAGACACGGCCCAGACGCCUACGGGAGGCAGCAGUAGGGAAUCUUCGGCAAUGGACGGAAGUCUGACCGAGCAACGCCGCGUGAGUGAAGAAGGUUUUCGGAUCGUAAAGCUCUGUUGUAAGAGAAGAACGAGUGUGAGAGUGGAAAGUUCACACUGUGACGGUAGCUUACCAGAAAGGGACGGCUAACUACGUG